AUGUAUGCUGCAACGUAGACGUGGCCGACGCGGAUCAAUGUGUGGUAUCUGUUAUUAUCAGCUUAAUAUCUGAUACAGGUUUUAGUUGGACCCAAGAUAUUAAACUUAUUUUUGCUAGUUGGCAGGGUGCUUGAGCCUGUUUCACCUCCGCUGUGGGUUGGCCUGGUAUUGCACGAUCUUCAAGAUCAGUCCACAGUUU
Dermacentor silvarum is the source of this 199-nucleotide small nuclear RNA. RefSeq annotates it as U2 spliceosomal RNA. The transcript has a single exon. The record is from RefSeq and is a predicted model, not a curated record. Lineage: Eukaryota; Metazoa; Arthropoda; Arachnida; Ixodida; Ixodidae.